RNAcentral lists this ribosomal RNA (1563 nucleotides) under Triticum aestivum (bread wheat). RNAcentral's name for it is "partial small subunit ribosomal RNA". The record is from RNAcentral. Lineage: Eukaryota; Viridiplantae; Streptophyta; Magnoliopsida; Poales; Poaceae.
AUGACCUCCUCCGGGCGUGGCUGCACCCCCUCCUCGCCCCCAGACAACCAGACCGGUGAGCAUGGACGGGCUAGCCCCCUUCUGUGGCGAGAUCAAUCACCUAAGCUGCCGCCAAUGACAAGGGGACGCUACCUGCACAUAAUUAUUCGUCUAGCCGGCAGCAACCCCAGGCUGUGGCCGUGGAAGAAGAGGGAGCCCAGGUCGGCGGCGCGAGUUGAAGGGAGAGGACCACGCCAGGGCCUGGAUCCGCCGGUCCCCAACCAUCCACCCACUAAGCGACACGACCGACCCGCUCCCAUCCUCACUGCCCGCAACACGAGUCGCGGCGGGGCAGCGAGGAGUGGAGAGGUGGAGAUGCUCCUGCGGCCGCGCCCGAAGAAGAGGUCAGGAGAUGGGGGCGGCGGCGGAGCAGGAGAUGGGGGCGGCGGCGGCACGGGAGAGGAGGGAAAGAGAAGUUGCAUCGGGAUCGAGAGGAGGGCCAUCGUACGGGCUUUUCUGAGCCGGAGCGGUGGUGCCGAAAAAAAUCUACAAAAGUUAACUUACGGAAAAAAACCGGACGAAAGUGGUGGGAUGAAAAUUGGCCGGCGGAGACUACCAACUGCUCCAUUAAGAGUAGAGAUAGAACAGUUGGUGAAUAGUCUAUGCGGUUUAUUUUCGCUGGGUUUUUUUUUCGUCUCUCCUCCCACCACCCCCUCCCAUCCUGGUUUUUUUCGUCUUCUCCCUCACCCCACCCCACACCCCGCAGAAAAAAAUGCUCCAUCGAUCCCAUCUCUACUCCAAUACGAGCCGCCGCCGAGAUGCGAGACGAUCCGCCGCCGCCGAGGACCGAGUGGAGCCGCCGCCGGCGCUGGCCAGCCUCCCCACCGAUUUGCGCGCCGGGUCGCCGCUCCCGCUCCGGGAGCCCCAGCCGCCACCACUUUCCUCCUGCUCUCCGGCAAGUCCGCCCAGGACCGGCAGCUCCUCGCCUCCGACGCCGGUGAGUUCUCUCUGGCGGAGGAGGGCGGGGGCGAGCUCGUCGUCUCCCUCGCGCUCGACGCAAGCGGGGACGCGGACUACGAUGCGGCCGCCUACAUGGGCGCGCUCCAGGCGCGGCGCUUCGGGAGGUGGAUGCGUUGGUCGCCGCGGAUGGUAGGACUUUAUCAGGUCGUCCCUGACAAGAGGGAGCGAGAGAUGCUACUGCCAGGCACGUGCACGCACGUGGGGCGGCCGCCUGCGAGCGGGGCCGCGUCCUCUCUCCUUCGCCGACCAUGGCCUCCCAACCACUCCGUUGAGCGGUACCUCUGCGCCCAAGUGUCAGCUCCUCGAUCUUCAACAGAUUUGUUAUCUCCUCUCUUCCGUUGCAGUAAAACUUAUCUGUCGUCAAGUCAUACCCAGCCCAUUGGCCGUCAUCCGAAUGCUUCUGAUAAUAAUCAAGCAUGUGUUGAUCUUGGUCUUGUUCUGUAUGCAGGUAGGAACAAUAUGAUACGAUGCACAUCGGUCCGCUUUACUGGCAGCUAUCUUUCAAGAUGGAGGGGAGGCACUCGUGUGGACCUGCUCAAUGUUCGAGGAGAUACGGCUGACUAA